UUGAAAGGGAAACGAUUGAAGUCAGUCGUGCUGGCGGGGAAAUCACCCCUCCCAUCGGGAGACCCAUGUUGUGGCGACCCUCAAAGCCCCCACAGCAUGUGUCUGGGGAUGAGGGGGGGCACUUUGGUCUCCCCGGUUACCAUCAAUUUCGAACGUCAUAAAAAGGCGGGAGGGAUGGGGAAAAAUUGGCGCGUCAUACCUUUAGCGGAAUGUGGUUUCGGGAUUGAGGAUCCAAAUAUACCUAGUUUGUUCCACCUGUUCCUUUGGUAUCCUGGUGACGACAGCUCGCUGACGGGGUUGGGUUCCCCUUUGAACAGGCUAGAGUGGAGCACUUCGUUAAGGAUGUUGACGUA
Molecule: ribosomal RNA, 353 nt
Filed under: uncultured Glomeromycotina
Lineage: Eukaryota; Fungi; Glomeromycota
Description: LSU rRNA
Source: RNAcentral